RNAcentral lists this ribosomal RNA (253 nucleotides) under uncultured bacterium. RNAcentral describes it as "partial 16S ribosomal RNA". It matches the Rfam family "Bacterial small subunit ribosomal RNA", at positions 524 to 776 of the family's 1533-position model. The record is from RNAcentral.
UACGUAGGGGGCUAGCGUUGUCCGGAAUCAUUGGGCGUAAAGAGCGUGUAGGCGGUCCGGUAAGUCCGCUGUGAAAGUCGGGGGCUCAACCCUCGAAUGCCGGUGGAUACUGUCGGGCUAGAGUGCGGAAGAGGCGAGUGGAAUUCCUGGUGUAGCGGUGCAAUGCGCAGAUAUCAGGAGGAACACCUAUUGCGAAGGCAGCUCGCUGGGACGUAACUGACGCUGAGACGCGAAAGCGUGGGGAGCAAACAGG